UAAUAAAAGAAAGAUGAGGCUCUGAGAGCCUUAUCUCAGAAAAUGGGGAAAAGAGGCAGUAUGCCUCUUGACCCGUGAAGAAAAAUAAAAAGAGGGAAGAAUGAAGAUUUUUCAUUUUUCUUUACGAAAAUCCUUGAUCUACGAAGAUCCAACGGUCCGAUCUUCAAUCCGACUUCGGUAACGUGAUCUACGAAGCCUGAUCUACGUUUCUACCGAUCGGUUUGAGAUUUUGGGUAGUUUGGAGUUACUAGGAGCUUCCCGAGCAUUUGGUCUUUGCUUGGCGAAUUUUUGUAAUGCAUUGCAUGGUGGUGUCUAGGAGACCUAGUGCUUAAUAUCCGCGCAGCCAGAUGAUGUUUCUUUGGCUGCAGGUACUUCGGUAUAGUCGAUGGGUCGAUAGCAGUGUGCUUGAGAUAUUAUGACUGAAGCUCGCCGCGACAGUUGUAAUGGUCGGACCACGGGUUGUCCACUAUUUUAUAGGAUUGGUAUGGCUUGUGACGUUUGUGUCACUUAUUAUUUGUUAAGCCAUUAUUGUUAUAGUGUUAAUAAGACUCAAGCAGAUAGAUGUUAAAUGGCUCUUUGUUGUAAUUAACUUGUGAUAGAUGUAUAAGUUGUAAUUUCCGCUAUUCAGAUUUAUGUUUUCCGCUGCA
Alnus glutinosa is the source of this 647-nucleotide long non-coding RNA. RefSeq lists it as uncharacterized. The record is from RefSeq and is a predicted model, not a curated record. NCBI's taxonomy places the organism in Eukaryota, Viridiplantae, Streptophyta, Magnoliopsida, Fagales, Betulaceae. The transcript has 4 exons.